UGGCAUGUCUGCACAGUGGAUCAAAGUUACCCUCCCACCUGAACCACAGCACUUUGAACAGAUAGAGCGAUGAAGAGACUGCUCUAUCUCAGUCCAUGGCAACUGUAGUGCCUUUUGCGUCCUGUUAUGGAAACAGCACUCUCCAUCAGCCUCUCCAACUCUUUGGGAAGGGCCAUAAGUGUGGCUACAUGUUCCUCAUCGCCUACCGUAGCCCUCGUAAUGUCCCCCGCCCGCAUUUGGCAUGCAAUGCCCCUAUAUUGACUCUGUCAGAUCUGCAGAAUGCUGCGUGUGAUGCGUUUUGAGGCUGCUGCUGCAGCCAACAACAGGAAGCAAGCAUCUUCUCCUCCACCACCUAGCUCUCCGGCCAAGUCAAACAUGAGAUGUCUGCCUUAAUGCUUUCGCCACAGACGUAAUACUAGUAACAUAAAGAGUUUUUCGAUGAUAAUGGAUCCCAAGAGCCCACCCCUACCCUUCCAACAAUCCUUACCCAGCCGAUGGGAGUGAGUUCCCUUCACGUUUCCACACAAACCCUUACAGAGAAGCACAGACUCCAUGUCCCCAUGCUUCGUUUGUUGGGGGUAGGGAGGGCACUCCUGAGACAAAGAAAACAUGUAUUUUGUGUACCAGUGACUGACAGACUCAGCUUCAACCACACCGAUUUAUUUUGUCUUGUGCGUAAUUUCAAAAGGUGAGACUCUGCUCACUGCAAAGGUCAGUCAGUAAUUAAACCUGUGGAAUGUUUCCAGGGGUCAGGAAAGGAGACCAAACUGUUUUGGGGGUUUGGGUGUUGGGUUGUUUUCUUUUUUAGGUGUUUAAUUCUGGGUGUACAUUGCUAAACGGAAAGUGUAAUUGACUGACAUUGGCACUGUGAAAACCUGUAUUGGAUU
Long non-coding RNA from Oncorhynchus masou masou (cherry salmon), 887 nucleotides. RefSeq lists it as uncharacterized. The transcript has 3 exons. NCBI's taxonomy places the organism in Eukaryota, Metazoa, Chordata, Actinopteri, Salmoniformes, Salmonidae. The record is from RefSeq and is a predicted model, not a curated record.